GCCGAAAUAGCUCAGUUGGGAGAGCGUUAGACUGAAGAUCUAAAUGUCCCUGGUUCGAUCCCUGGUUUUCGGCA
RNAcentral lists this transfer RNA (74 nucleotides) under Gadus morhua (Atlantic cod). Its description in RNAcentral is "tRNA-Phe (GAA) (tRNA-Phe-GAA-4-1)". It matches the Rfam family "tRNA". From Rfam's summary of the family: Transfer RNA (tRNA) molecules are approximately 80 nucleotides in length. Their secondary structure includes four short double-helical elements and three loops (D, anti-codon, and T loops). Further hydrogen bonds mediate the characteristic L-shaped molecular structure. tRNAs have two regions of fundamental functional importance: the anti-codon, which is responsible for specific mRNA codon recognition, and the 3' end, to which the tRNAs corresponding amino acid is attached (by aminoacyl-tRNA synthetases). tRNAs cope with the degeneracy of the genetic code in two manners: having more than one tRNA (with a specific anti-codon) for a particular amino acid; and 'wobble' base-pairing, i.e. permitting non-standard base-pairing at the 3rd anti-codon position. The record is from RNAcentral. Lineage: Eukaryota; Metazoa; Chordata; Actinopteri; Gadiformes; Gadidae.